RNAcentral lists this ribosomal RNA (253 nucleotides) under uncultured bacterium. Its description in RNAcentral is "partial 16S ribosomal RNA". It matches the Rfam family "Bacterial small subunit ribosomal RNA", at positions 524 to 776 of the family's 1533-position model. The record is from RNAcentral.
UACGGAGGGGGCUAGCGUUGUUCGGAAUUACUGGGCGUAAAGCGCGCGUAGGCGGAUCUGCAAGUCGGGGGUGAAAUCCCUCGGCUUAACCGGGGAACUGCGUCUGAUACUGGAUGGCUUGAGUUUGGGAGAGGGAUGCGGAAUUCCAGGUGUAGCGGUGAAAUGCGUAGAUAUCUGGAGGAACACCGGUGGCGAAGGCGGCAUCCUGGACCAACACUGACGCUGAGGAGCGAAAGCCAGGGGAGCAAACGGG